CAUUCAUAAAAAAACUGCAACUCUCAUGUUUCAAGGAGCCAAACAAUUUUAAAUUUAAUCAAAAUUGUAUAAAAAUAUCAUCUACAAUAUAAAAUAAAUUUCAUUAAAUCCACCCUAAAAACGUAUCUUCAUAAUGUUUUCCUUGUAUUGUCGGUGUUAUCACUUUCGAUAAAAAAGAAUAUGCUUUUCUUGACAGAAAUGGAAAUAUCUUUUUCAUUUCUCAGCAACAGGAUCGGUUGCUAAAAAAAUCAUAUAAAAAUCAAAUAAAAAGGUUCUAGCAAAGCUGCUGUACUGGCGGGAUUGGCUAGGCUCUUUUUGCACUCUGGCCUUGUUUAGUUCCCAACAAAUUUUGUAAAAUUUUUCAGAUUCUCUAUCACAUCGAAUCUUUAGACGCAUGCAUAGAGUAUUAAAUAUAGACAAAAAUAAAAACUAAUUGUACAGUUUGGUUGGAAUUGACGAGACGAAUCUUUUAAGCCUAGUUAGUCCAUAAUUGGACAAUAUUUGUCAAAUACAAACGAAAGUGCUACAGUGUCCAUUUUCCAAAAAAUUUUGAAACUAAACAAGGCCUAAAUCCAAACAAGAGUGAGUGGUUCGAUUCCACUCUCAAAACAAGACCGAAUGAAAGAAAAUGCAAGUGAAACGGGACCAAAAUUUUAGGUUGGGAACAUGUAUUUGAACCACCUAAUAAACCAGAUCUUUAAAAGACAUACCACUAUUUCGAUACACUCAGUUAAAUUUAAGGAGUUUGAUUUAGGAGAAAACUCAAAAGAAUAAUACUUUAAAUCGGACGGAGUAUCAUGGCCUAUUUGGUAGAGCUCUUCUAACUUAUUCUCUAAUGGAGUGAUUUUGGUUAGGGGAGCAUACUGGAUGAGAGCAGAUAAAGUAAUCCGAACAUCUGAUCCACUGCGUUCUGUUAAUCAAUCUUUGGAGCUCAAGAGUAUUAUAGUCAUUAGUCAAAUCAUUUGCUUUCUCCAAUGGCCCUAUGCCAAUGAAUUCUAAAUGGACAGAUUUACAAAAGUUUGAUCCCUUCAUUUUUAAUUAUAAAACAUUUUGGCAUUUCUACAUAUAUAGUUUUGUUGUGUACUUAGAUAUAUACUAUAUCUACAUACAAUAUAUCUAAAAAAACAAAAUGUUUCAUAAUUUGGGACAUAGGGAGGUAGCAAGGUAAAUAAAAAAAUAAACAUGGCAUUCUCAAGGAAAAUAUACAAAACCAUAUCGGCACUAUCUUUUGCCUGAGUAAUGACAAACUCUACAAGCAAUAGAAUUCAGGAAGUAUCAGCAACAUUGUACCGGAGGGUUCAAAAUUUUGGCGAAAUUUCAUGAAUUUUGGAAAUUUCAGUGGUGGAAAAGAAAAAAUCAAAAUUUUAUAGUAAUAUACUAAUACAUGUGCUAUAUAACUCUAGACAGACUCAUAUUUUUCUAUUAUUUAUGUUGCAUAUUCUUCUACACAAUCUAUGUGUACCCAUAAAUCAAUGCUAAUAUUUUCUUAGAUCUAAUUUUUUAGAAAAAUAUAUUUCAUAUGCAAGUCUCUAAAAAAAACAUCGGUGAAAUUCUGGUUGAAUUUCGCGGUAAUUUUAGAAGUGGUACCGAAAUAAAAAACCCAUCAACCUGUUCGGAUGACAAGUUGAAGUCGAAUUCACGUGUUCUCAAACUUGACUAAUCUAUACCUAUCUAUAAAGAGCCAAAAUUUCAGUCUGCCAAAUAUUUUCUUCUGCCUCCUGUCCAUGUUCUGUCCGUGUUCGUGUUCGGUUUACGGAUCGCCUCCUCUGUCCAACGUUUUUAAAAGGGCAAAAAAAAAAUAAAAAACAUUCUAGGGUUCCUAAUGCAAAAUCUCAUAUUCCAGUCGCUCGCCUCUACCGUCGACCGCAAUCCCAACCGGAAUCGGUACUGAUGGAAAGAAAAAAGAAUAAAAAUUUUUCUAGAGUUUCUAAUAUAAAAUCUCCAAUUUACUUUUCUUUUAUUUUUUAAAUUGGCUGAAAAUUAAUAAAUGCAUAGUAAUUCAUAGAAAAAUCUAAAAAUUAUAAAACAAAUUUUGUUCAACUCCACAUAUAUAGAUCCAUGCAGUAAACAAAAAAUAUCACAAAUUUUAGUACACUUUUUUUUUGGAAAUGCUUGCCUAUGCUUUUUACUGUAAAAUUAAAAUUGUAGUUAUCUUGCUCCAAUUAUUAUAAAAAUUUAAUGGUACCCUAUUUAAUGUGAUGCUUGAUUCAUAUUUCAUAGCAAUCCUAAUCUAAAUUAAAAAAAUAAUGCUAACAUCAAACUUCUCAUGUUUUAAUAUAAUACUGAGGCAUAUUAAGAGGUAAUAUUAGAGUGAGAUAAGAUUUAACUAUUUUCUAUUUUUAUUAUUAAAUAAAUAUGUCUUUAAGCUACAUAUUAUUGUAAAUAUUAACUAUCUAGUACCAUAGAUGUUAUGGUUAUCAAUAAAAUAAAUUAUGGACUUUAAAUUUUAUAAAAAGGAUAAAUAUAAAUAGAUAUGUAACAUUAUGUCAUCACUUUCUAGGGUUAUUCGAUGUUUUUCUUCCGUUGCAAUAUUACCAAAUUGAGGAAAAGCAAUUUUUUUUAAAAAAAAUUGUGACCCCCGGCCCCCACUCCUCCCAUGGCUCCGCUCCCCGUCCCCGUCCACCCGCC
Molecule: long non-coding RNA, 2628 nt
Filed under: Sorghum bicolor (sorghum)
Lineage: Eukaryota; Viridiplantae; Streptophyta; Magnoliopsida; Poales; Poaceae
Description: long non-coding RNA (SBIC_LNC015497)
Source: RNAcentral